UACGUAGGAGGCGAGCGUUGUCCGGAAUUAUUGGGCGUAAAGAGCUCGUAGGCGGUCAGUCGCGUCUGCUGUGAAAACUCGGGGCUUAACUCCGGGCCUGCAGUGGGUACGGGCUGACUAGAGUGCGGUAGGGGAGACUGGAAUUCCUGGUGUAGCGGUGAAAUGCGCAGAUAUCAGGAGGAACACCGGUGGCGAAGGCGGGUCUCUGGGCCGUAACUGACGCUGAGGAGCGAAAGCGUGGGGAGCGAACAGG
Molecule: ribosomal RNA, 253 nt
Filed under: uncultured bacterium
Lineage: Bacteria
Description: partial 16S ribosomal RNA
Rfam family: Bacterial small subunit ribosomal RNA
Source: RNAcentral